This 313-nucleotide unclassified non-coding RNA is filed under the name rhizosphere metagenome. Its description in RNAcentral is "partial ribosomal RNA internal transcribed spacer region". The record is from RNAcentral.
GUAGGUGAACCUGCGGAAGGAUCAUUAACACGUACCAACGGUACAAACAAACCGGAGAACCCGUCUUGCUCCCUGUCUAUGCCUUUGGCGCCCCUCGAGAUGUGGUAAUGACUCGAGGCCCGCACGGGAUAACCUGGCGAAAGCCUUAGAUUCCCACGUUGGUAUUCAGGCAACACGCCAUUACUCGUAACUUUUUACGAUCUCACCCAUGACAACAUAGCACUGAUUUAUUUACUGGAGCUGGUGGAAACAUCGCUCUGUAAACAUUUAACAUAACCUAGCACAACUCUUAGCAAUGGAUAUCUAGGUUCUC